GUGGGGAAUAUUGGACAAUGGGCGAAAGCCUGAUCCAGCCAUGCCGCGUGUGUGAAGAAGGUCUUCGGAUUGUAAAGCACUUUAAGUUGGGAGGAAGGGCAGUAAGUUAAUACCUUGCUGUUUUGACGUUACCGACAGAAUAAGCACCGGCUAACUUCGUGCCAGCAGCCGCGGUAAUACGAAGGGUGCAAGCGUUAAUCGGAAUUACUGUGCGUAAAGCGCGCGUAGGUGGUUUUGUAAGUUGGAGGAGAAAUCCCCGGGCUCAACCUGGGAACUGCCUCCAAAACUACUGAGCUAGAGUACGGUAGAGGGUAGUGGAAUUUCCUGUGUAGCGGUGAAAUGCGUAGAUAUAGGAAGGAACACCAGUGGCGAAGGCGACUACCUGGACUGAUACUGACACUGGGGUGCGAAAGCGUGGGGAGCAAACAGGAUUAGAUACCCGAGUAGUCC
RNAcentral lists this ribosomal RNA (450 nucleotides) under uncultured bacterium. Its description in RNAcentral is "bacterial SSU rRNA". It matches the Rfam family "Bacterial small subunit ribosomal RNA", at positions 354 to 796 of the family's 1533-position model. The record is from RNAcentral.